UCACUCUGGUUUCUCUUCAGAUCGUAUAAAUCUUUCGCCUUUUACUAAAGAUUUCCGUGGAGAGGAGCAGUAUGAGUUUUAACUAAUUUUUUGAUGCUCUGCUGUUCAGCAGGGCU
This is a small nuclear RNA of Myripristis murdjan (pinecone soldierfish), 116 nucleotides long. Its record names the gene U5. It matches the Rfam family "U5 spliceosomal RNA". Rfam says of the family: U5 RNA is a component of both types of known spliceosome. Lineage: Eukaryota; Metazoa; Chordata; Actinopteri; Holocentriformes; Holocentridae. The record is from Ensembl.